RNA transcript from Mercenaria mercenaria, 266 nucleotides. RefSeq lists it as uncharacterized. The transcript has 3 exons. Lineage: Eukaryota; Metazoa; Mollusca; Bivalvia; Venerida; Veneridae. The record is from RefSeq and is a predicted model, not a curated record.
GAGUAUUGAGAAUAUUAAUUCUCGACUUGCUCUUGUGAUGAAGAGUGGGAAAUAUGUGCUUGGUUACAAACAAACACUCAAGACACUGAGACAAGGAAAAGCCAAGUUGGUAAUCAUUGCCAGCAACACACCACCACUAAGGGAUGUAUAGAGACAGGGUAAAACUGCUCAUUUGCAGGCAUAGUCUUGAAUCUAGCCUCUAGUAGACAUAUAACUGGAAGAGUGAAAUCGAGUACUAUGCUAUGUUGGCUAAGACUGGUGUCCAU